ACGCUAGCGGCAGGCCUAAUACAUGCAAGUCGGACGGGAUUCAGGGAGUAGCUUGCUACGAACUGAUGAGAGUGGCGCACGGGUGCGUAACGCGUGAGCAACCUACCCAUAUCAGGGGGAUAGCCUCUCGAAAGAGAGAUUAACACCGCAUAACAUCAUUAACCGGCAUCGGAUUGUGAUCAAAUAUUUAUAGGAUAUGGAUGGGCUCGCGUGACAUUAGCUAGUUGGAGAGGUAACGGCUCACCAAGGCUACGAUGUCUAGGGGCUCUGAGAGGAGAAUCCCCCACACUGGUACUGAGACACGGACCAGACUCCUACGGGAGGCAGCAGUAAGGAAUAUUGGUCAAUGGAGGCAACUCUGAACCAGCCAUGCCGCGUGCAGGAUGACUGCCCUAUGGGUUGUAAACUGCUUUUGUCAGGGAAUAAACCUUUCCACGUGUGGGAAGCUGAAUGUACCUGAAGAAUAAGGAUCGGCUAACUCCGUGCCAGCAGCCGCGGUAAUACGGAGGAUCCAAGCGUUAUCCGGAUUUAUUGGGUUUAAAGGGUGCGUAGGCGGUCCUAUAAGUCAGUGGUGAAAGACGGCAGCUUAACUGUCGCAGUGCCUUUGAUACUGUAGGACUUGAAUCUAUUUGAAGUGGGCGGAAUAAGACAAGUAGCGGUGAAAUGCAUAGAUAUGUCUUAGAACUCCGAUUGCGAAGGCAGCUCACUAAGUUAGUAUUGACGCUGAUGCACGAAAGCGUGGGG
RNAcentral lists this ribosomal RNA (744 nucleotides) under uncultured bacterium. RNAcentral's name for it is "bacterial SSU rRNA". It matches the Rfam family "Bacterial small subunit ribosomal RNA", at positions 33 to 766 of the family's 1533-position model. The record is from RNAcentral.